AUUGAACGCUGGCGGCAUGCCUUACACAUGCAAGUCGAACGGUAACAGGUCUUCGGAUGCUGACGAGUGGCGAACGGGUGAGUAAUACAUCGGAACGUGCCUAGUAGUGGGGGAUAACUACUCGAAAGAGUGGCUAAUACCGCAUGAGAUCUACGGAUGAAAGCAGGGGAUCGCAAGACCUUGUGCUACUAGAGCGGCCGAUGGCAGAUUAGGUAGUUGGUGGGAUAAAAGCUUACCAAGCCGACGAUCUGUAGCUGGUCUGAGAGGACGAUCAGCCACACUGGGACUGAGACACGGCCCAGACUCCUACGGGAGGCAGCAGUGGGGAAUUUUGGACAAUGGGCGAAAGCCCGAUCCAGCAAUGCCGCGUGCAGGAUGAAGGCCUUCGGGUUGUAAACUGCUUUUGUACGGAACGAAAAGCCCCGGGUUAAUACCCUGGAGUCAUGACGGUACCGUAAGAAUAAGCACCGGCUAACUACGUGCCAGCCGCCGCAGUAA
RNAcentral lists this ribosomal RNA (498 nucleotides) under uncultured bacterium. RNAcentral's name for it is "partial 16S ribosomal RNA". It matches the Rfam family "Bacterial small subunit ribosomal RNA", at positions 30 to 523 of the family's 1533-position model. The record is from RNAcentral.